This 1314-nucleotide long non-coding RNA is filed under the name Daucus carota (carrot). Its description in RNAcentral is "long non-coding RNA (DCAR_LNC001509)". The record is from RNAcentral. Lineage: Eukaryota; Viridiplantae; Streptophyta; Magnoliopsida; Apiales; Apiaceae.
CUUUCUGGUGGAAGUCGUGUCAUAGAAAUGCUGCUGCUGCUGUCUACUUUUGUUUCUUUCCAUCUGUUUCAGUCAUUUUCAGAGCUCCCAGACUUUCUGUUUGCAUUCAUCUUCCGAAUCUAUACAGACCCCACUAAAAUUUGUUUGUGUUUUGAAAACUUUCAAAAUCAAAGUAUGAGUUAUGAUUAUCAUUUGAGUUGUGUAUACAGCUUAGUACUGGGAUAUACUAAAUGACACUGGUAACUAUCAUUUGAAUAGUGUACACGACUUAAUACUAGGAGACGAGACAAAUACUUAAUGACACCAAUGACUAUCAUUUGAGUUGUGUACAAAACUUAAUACUAGCAAGCCUUUUUUGUUCCUCGUAAAAUUAUAGUAGUGCAUUUUAAGAGCUUUAAACACAAAGCCCUUCUGAAAUGAAUUGACAGGUACAGUUCAGAAUUAUGAGAAAUCCUGUCAUCAUUUAUCAUUCAUUUUUCAACAAAACAUCACUAAGGUAUCCAAUCUCACAUUCUAUAUAACUCUUGCUGGUCUAAUAAACCUUGCUGCUUCUUUUUCCCUGAGGUGAACGGUGUUUUGUUUGUCUGAAUCUGGCUUGUGGGUACUGAUGUGGAAUCCACUAAAGACUACAAAGUUGUCAUUAACACGUAACACGUACUCAUCUUUCACGCCAGACACAUAAAAUGAAGCAUGUGUUGAAGUCAUUGUAAAGUUGAGAGAAAGAUCUCGUCAAAUCACUCCCAAACCUAUUACCUUCCGAACCAUAUUAUCGUACUUCCACAAAAAUUCAUCAGAAACUAAACAUGGUGGCUCUCAGUGAUUUGACUUCCCCAUCAGCGGCUUAUGCUUAUGCUGCGGAGGCUUCUAUUUCAGCAUUUGACAUUCUCCUUGGGACAACUUUUUAGCCAAAUAGUUACUCGCCAACUUGAAGCUUUCUUGUCAAAGCCUAGAGAAAAGAAAGCUCAUUCAGAGAAAAAAGAAAGCUUGGAAACAAAUCUUUAUACUUAGGAGUCAGGAGAUUUGAUUUAUAUACGUGCCGUGCCUCCAGAGACAGGGAAAUGGAGUUUGAUAGUUGCAUUGGCUAAUAAUCUAGAGUUUGACAUAAUGUGAAGCAUGACGACUCUGGGCACAAGAAAUUAUUGUUGCGGAGACUGCAUAUCAGUCCAUCCCUGUAAUUGAAGAUAGUGAUUGUAGUGAAGAGUUAGCUCUCCAGGAAAACAAAAUAUUAUUCCUACUUGUAAAAAACUAUAUCUGUUAAAAUAUAAGUCGCUUGACUUUUUUGCAUGUAAUUUUAAGUCCUUUGACCGCACGCUA